Betta splendens (Siamese fighting fish) is the source of this 1370-nucleotide long non-coding RNA. RefSeq lists it as uncharacterized. The transcript has 3 exons. The record is from RefSeq and is a predicted model, not a curated record. Lineage: Eukaryota; Metazoa; Chordata; Actinopteri; Anabantiformes; Osphronemidae.
GGGGGGGGGGGGGGUGAAGAUGGAAAGAGGACGCCGAAGUAGGUGCGUUAGCGCGUGCGCGCACGUGUGCUCUAAGCCCGUUUGUGCACGACGUGCGUUAGAGAAUCAAGUGUAACUGGUCCCUUUUAUCUCAUCUCAUGCCGCUGCACGCGCUCAGCGCAGCUCGUCCCUGAGACUGUUGCCUCGCUGCUUCCAUCGUUUCCUGUGAGAACAUGUCGACAGAAAUAGCUCAAAGUUCCCAAAGACCGAAUGAGCGAGAGGCUCUUGUGUGACAUUUGCACGUUUUUGUUUCCACGAUGGUCCGGGUGACGCAUAAAUAACGACACUGCAGCAAAACUAACGUCUGAGGAGCUAAUGACCAUGAAUGCACAAAUUCAUUUAUUCAUUUCAUUCAAGUAACGUCAAUCAAAGCAUGUCCUCCGCAUGAGGUCAGCACUCCAUGCGUGUAGUAUAUAACCUAUAGAAUCACCUGGACAGGUGAACCCGACCUAAGGUGUGAUGGUUUUAACAUAACUGAGAACCUUCAGCUUUUCCUCACUUCACUUUACUCAACUCUAACAAAUCACAUAGUAUCAUUGUGCCAUCUGUGCCAGUUGGCAGUGCCAGGACAAAGCUCCAGCUAAUCCCAGAUGGCAGCACUGGGAUUCUCCAAGAUUGACUGAGUUUAACAACAGUCUGUGAGGAAACAGGAAGCAGGCCAAGCAUCCCUCAGCCGUGAAGUCAUCGCUCCCUCCGUCUCCCAGUCGUUUCUGUCUUCACGGUGACCUUCAGCCGUGUCAAAACCCCGAGAAGAUGGUGAAGCACCAGCAGCUACGCAACAUCGGAGCUCCGCUUCUACCUCCAAACCUCUGAAGAGCCAGCGCGAAAAGGUUCAAGGUUUGACAGCUGGAAUGGAGUUUGUUGCCUGGCAACGACAGUAACCAAAGUUGGAAGUUGGGCCUUUUUUGAACUCUGUUCAUUCUUCCAAAAAUAGAAGUGUUGUUUUUAAAUGAAGAUACUGGACAGUGAUCAGGUGUGAACACGAAUGGAAAAAGUAUUUGUUAAAAGUUGCUCUGAGAGGAAUAUUCAUGAAGCUCGGCUCCAGUGGUGUGACGCUCGCGUGCUCCUGGCGACACAUGGAGGCGAACGAAAAGCCAAAAGGACAAAGCGCCUUCUUCAGUCUCAUCAGGCCGCACAGUGAGGGGUGAAGGACCCCAGAGGUCCACGAGAGCUUCCAUGAAGCCAGUGACAUCAAAACGUGAAGUCCUGUUUCGAGGAGCCAAGCACAGACAUGCUAUAAAACAUACACUGCAGGUCACGCUGCUGCACAUUUCCAGAGCGCGGCUAUUUCAGGCACCAAAUUGCAUCUGCUUCUCCCCGCCUCAAACCUA